GGUCAAGCGAAUAAGUGCAUGUGGUGGAUGCCUUGGCGAUUACAGGCGAUGAAGGACGUAGUAGCCUGCGAAAAGCUGCGGGGAGCUGGCAAACAAGCUUUGAUCCGCAGAUGUCCGAAUGGGGAAACCCGGCCCGUAUGGGUCAUCCCUUGCUGAAUACAUAGGCAAGGGAAGCGAACGCAGCGAACUGAAAC
This 194-nucleotide ribosomal RNA is filed under the name Ralstonia insidiosa. RNAcentral describes it as "23S ribosomal RNA". It matches the Rfam family "Bacterial large subunit ribosomal RNA", at positions 1 to 199 of the family's 2925-position model. The record is from RNAcentral. Lineage: Bacteria; Pseudomonadati; Pseudomonadota; Betaproteobacteria; Burkholderiales; Burkholderiaceae.